AAUUGAUUAGUCUAAAAGACAUUUGUUUUGAAAACAAAAAAUGAUAAAUAAAUUUAUCAUCAAUUU
This 66-nucleotide transfer RNA is filed under the name Anomopsocus sp. AnspLA. RNAcentral's name for it is "tRNA-Ser". It matches the Rfam family "tRNA". Rfam says of the family: Transfer RNA (tRNA) molecules are approximately 80 nucleotides in length. Their secondary structure includes four short double-helical elements and three loops (D, anti-codon, and T loops). The record is from RNAcentral. Lineage: Eukaryota; Metazoa; Arthropoda; Insecta; Psocodea; Lachesillidae.